AGAGUUUGAUCCUGGCUCAGAUUGAACGCUGGCGGCAUGCCUUACACAUGCAAGUCGAACGGCAGCACGGAGCUUGCUCUGGUGGCGAGUGGCGAACGGGUGAGUAAUAUAUCGGAACGUACCCUAGAGUGGGGGAUAACGUACCGAAAGUUACGCUAAUACCGCAUACGAUCUAAGGAUGAAAGUGGGGGAUCGCAAGACCUCAUGCUCGUGGAGCGGCCGAUAUCUGAUUAGCUAGUUGGUAGGGUAAAAGCCUACCAAGGCAUCGAUCAGUAGCUGGUCUGAGAGGACGACCAGCCACACUGGAACUGAGACACGGUCCAUACUCCUACGGGAGGCAGCAGUGGGGAAUUUUGGACAAUGGGCGAAAGCCUGAUCCAGCAAUGCCGCGUGAGUGAAGAAGGCCUUCGGGUUGUAAAGCUCUUUUGUCAGGGAAGAAACGGUGAGAGCUAAUAUCUCUUGCUAAUGACGGUACCUGAAGAAUAAGCACCGGCUAACUACGUGCCAGCGGCCGCGGUAAUACGAUAGGGUGCAAGCGUUAAUCGGAAUUACUGGGCGUAAAGCGUGCGCAGGCAGCUUUGUAAGUCUGAUGUGAAAUCACCAGGCUCAGCCUGCGAAUUGCAUCGUAGACUGCUAGGCUACAAUCUGGCAGAGGGGGGUAGUAUUCCACGUGUAGCACUGAAAUGCGUACAUAUGUGGA
RNAcentral lists this ribosomal RNA (700 nucleotides) under uncultured bacterium. RNAcentral's name for it is "bacterial SSU rRNA". It matches the Rfam family "Bacterial small subunit ribosomal RNA", at positions 8 to 702 of the family's 1533-position model. The record is from RNAcentral.